RNAcentral lists this ribosomal RNA (301 nucleotides) under uncultured bacterium. RNAcentral describes it as "partial 16S ribosomal RNA". It matches the Rfam family "Bacterial small subunit ribosomal RNA", at positions 509 to 809 of the family's 1533-position model. The record is from RNAcentral.
CAGCCGCCGCGGGAAUACGUAGGUCCCGAGCGUUGUCCGGAUUUAUUGGGCGUAAAGCGAGCGCAGGCGGUUAGAUAAGUCUGAAGUUAAAGGCUGUGGCUUAACCAUAGUACGCUUUGGAAACUGUUUAACUUGAGUGCAAGAGGGGAGAGUGGAAUUCCAUGUGUAGCGGUGAAAUGCGUAGAUAUAUGGAGGAACACCGGUGGCGAAAGCGGCUCUCUGGCUUGUAACUGACGCUGAGGCUCGAAAGCGUGGGGAGCAAACAGGAUUAGAUACCCCUGUAGUCCCGUCUCUUAUACAC